GCCGGUUACAGGGCGCAGCCUGAUCCAGCCAUUCCGCGUGAGUGAAGAAGGCCUUCGGGUUGUAAAGCUCUUUCGCAAGGGAAGAAAACUUACCUUCUAAUAAAGGGUGAGGUUGACGGUACCUUGAUAAGAAGCACCGGCUAACUACGUGCCAGCGCCGCGGUAAUUGA
Molecule: ribosomal RNA, 170 nt
Filed under: uncultured ammonia-oxidizing bacterium
Lineage: Bacteria
Description: partial 16S ribosomal RNA
Rfam family: Bacterial small subunit ribosomal RNA
Source: RNAcentral